This is a non-coding RNA of Vicugna pacos (alpaca), 246 nucleotides long. Lineage: Eukaryota; Metazoa; Chordata; Mammalia; Artiodactyla; Camelidae. The record is from RefSeq and is a predicted model, not a curated record.
UAAAUAGCCCCGGCCGAGCGUUUUUGGUUCUCUUUGUGCGGUGAAGUCGUGGGUAGGUGGCAUGGGAGCUGUAUGGUGUGUGCCAAGCGUGCUGCGGACCUUUCCCCGAAUUAGAGGAAGGCGGCACCCUGCGCCAUCUUUGCACAGCUGCCCGCGUGCAGGGCCCUGAUUCUGGAAGCCGGAUCUGCAGCUCCAUGGGGGGGUUUAAGACGUCCACCAGUGUGUUACCCUUGAGUAAAGGUGAGU